RNAcentral lists this ribosomal RNA (253 nucleotides) under uncultured bacterium. Its description in RNAcentral is "partial 16S ribosomal RNA". It matches the Rfam family "Bacterial small subunit ribosomal RNA", at positions 524 to 776 of the family's 1533-position model. The record is from RNAcentral.
UACGUAGGGUGCAAGCGUUGUCCGGAAUUAUUGGGCGUAAAGAGCUCGUAGGUGGUCUGUCGCGUCGGCUGUGAAAACUCGGGGCUCAACCCCGAGCUUGCAGUCGAUACGGGCAGACUAGAGUGCGGUAGGGGUGACUGGAAUUCCUGGUGUAGCGGUGGAAUGCGCAGAUAUCAGGAAGAACACCCGUGGCGAAGGCGGUUCUCUGGGACGGUACUGACGCUGAGACGCGAAAGCGUGGGGAGCGAACAGG